GAGUUUGAUCCUGGCUCAGAACGAACGCUGGCGGCGUGCCUAACACAUGCAAGUCGAACGUGAUCCAGAGCUUGCUCUGGUGAAAGUGGCGCACGGGUGAGUAACGCGUGGAUAACCUACCCUGGUAUCCGGGAUAACAUUCCGAAAGGGGUGCUAAUACCGGAUAAGCCCACGGGCUCUUUGGAGCUUGCGGGAAAAGGUGGCCUCUAUUUAUAAGCUACUGUAUCAGGAUGGGUCCGCGUACCAUUAGCUAGUUGGCGGUGUAACGGACCACCAAGGCGACGAUGGUUAGCUGGUCUGAGAGGAUGAUCAGCCACACUGGAACUGAGACACGGUCCAGACUCCUCCGGGAGGCAGCAGUGGGGAACUUUGCGCAAUGGGGGAAACCCUGACGCAGCAACGCCGCGUGAGUGAUGAAGGCCUUUGGGUCGUAAAGCUCUGUCAGAGGGGAAGAAAUGAUAUAGUGCUAAUACCACUUUAUCUUGACGGUACCCUCAAAGGAAGCACCGGCUAACUCCGUGCCAGCAGCCGCGGUAAUAC
Molecule: ribosomal RNA, 540 nt
Filed under: uncultured Geobacteraceae bacterium
Lineage: Bacteria; Pseudomonadati; Thermodesulfobacteriota; Desulfuromonadia; Geobacterales; Geobacteraceae
Description: bacterial SSU rRNA
Rfam family: Bacterial small subunit ribosomal RNA
Source: RNAcentral